AGAGUUAAACAGUACGUGAAAUUGUUGAAAAGGAAACAAUUGAAGUCAGUCAUACCAAUGGGAAAUCAAUCUUUUGAGCUUGAUCUCGUGAGUUUUGAAGAGUUUCAAAGCCUUCGGAUUUGCAGGAUUGGGAUCUCUUGGUGUACUUUUUCGUACGGUUAGUCAACAUCAGUUUUGAAUGUCAUAAAAUGACUGGAGGAAUGUAGCUUCGAUCUCGUAUUGAAGUGUUAUAGCCUUUGGUAGAUGUGAUGUUUGAGACUGAGAAUUGCAACAGAUACCCUUCAGGGCUAUUUGUCUGAGCUCUGAUACGUUGCCUUGAUGUUGAAAGCUUGCUUAUGAUGUUAGGAUAUUAUGGUCAAAGGUUAGAACGAAUUACAUUUGUUAAGGAUGUUGACAUAAUAACUUUAAAUGACC
This 414-nucleotide ribosomal RNA is filed under the name uncultured fungus. RNAcentral describes it as "eukaryotic LSU rRNA". Lineage: Eukaryota; Fungi. The record is from RNAcentral.